This is a non-coding RNA of Oncorhynchus gorbuscha (pink salmon), 73 nucleotides long. The record is from the annotation of a RefSeq genome assembly. NCBI's taxonomy places the organism in Eukaryota, Metazoa, Chordata, Actinopteri, Salmoniformes, Salmonidae.
GCUGUGAUGGCCGAGAGGUUAAGGCGUUGGAUUUGAAAUCCAAUUGGCGCAGGUUCGAACCCUGCUCACAGCG